Molecule: long non-coding RNA, 311 nt
Organism: Gallus gallus (chicken)
Lineage: Eukaryota; Metazoa; Chordata; Aves; Galliformes; Phasianidae
Source: Ensembl
UUGGGGGCCUUUGCUGAAGCAACGGGCAGAUGAUGCUGGAACCUGUAGGAUGGGUAUAUCCUGCUUUCAGGGAGCCGUAAGUCCAUGGGCAGAGGUGGGGGCUUCCCCAGGGAAGAAAGGGCACUGAUAGCAGAAGAUGGUGGCUGUACUUUUUUCUCUCCAAGAUCAUAUUUUCACACAAGUUUUUGUUGCGAUGACAGAGGAGGCAGCACUCGCCCUCGUGGGCUGAAUGGAGGGGAGGACAGAGCCUGCAGACAGCUGCACUUGAUGGUCCUUUUGUGUCCCUUCCAAAGAGGAGUAGUCUACAUUUC